UCGAUUCAUUUAUCUAUUUAUAAUUGAUGAGACGUUCGGAUUGGAUGUUGAAACUUGGGAGCUUAAAGAGACAUCCUACUAAUGACAUGUAAUCAGAUGAUAAGACGUUCCAAGAGAUGAUUUUUUGUCUUCCCUAUUUCUACAGGGUUGACAGUCUGAUAGAAUGCACUAUUUUAAGGUUUUAUGAUUAGGAGAAGUGCAAGCUGUUGUAGGAUG
RNAcentral lists this long non-coding RNA (216 nucleotides) under Elaeis guineensis (African oil palm). Its description in RNAcentral is "long non-coding RNA (EGUI_LNC008499)". The record is from RNAcentral. Lineage: Eukaryota; Viridiplantae; Streptophyta; Magnoliopsida; Arecales; Arecaceae.